This 253-nucleotide ribosomal RNA is filed under the name uncultured bacterium. RNAcentral describes it as "partial 16S ribosomal RNA". It matches the Rfam family "Bacterial small subunit ribosomal RNA", at positions 524 to 776 of the family's 1533-position model. The record is from RNAcentral.
UACGGGGGGGGCAAGCGUUGUUCGGAAUUACUGGGCGUAAAGGGCUCGUAGGUGGCCAUCUAAGUCAGACGUGAAAUCCCUCGGCUUAACCGGGGAACUGCGUCUGAUACUGGAUGGCUUGAGUUCGGGAGAGGGAUGCGGAAUUCCAGGUGUAGCGGUGAAAUGCGUAGAUAUCUGGAGGAACACCGGUGGCGAAGGCGGCAUCCUGGACCGACACUGACACUGAGGAGCGAAAGCCAGGGGAGCAAACGGG